GGAAAGAGCUGGCUUGCGAGCUCCCUGCUUAACAGAAGGCUCAGUUGCCCAAGUGACGAAGGCAUUGUGGGGCACGAACCAGGCUUUGGUGAAUUUAUCUCAUUAUACACCAGGAGUUAUAAUUUAAAAACCAGUGUCAUAUAAAGAAGAAAAAAGAUAUGGUGAGAUACAAUACCAUUAACACUUCUUCAGAAACGGAUUUUAAAGCAGAACUUCCAUGACUGUGAAAUCCAACCGGGUGCGCGACCACGAGGAAGGAUGGCGAGGGAGGAAACCGCGCUUUGUUGUUGAGGUGAGCCGGGUGCGCGACCACGAGGAAGGAUGGCG
Molecule: long non-coding RNA, 327 nt
Filed under: Homo sapiens (human)
Lineage: Eukaryota; Metazoa; Chordata; Mammalia; Primates; Hominidae
Description: non-protein coding lnc-PITRM1-7:2
Source: RNAcentral